This 465-nucleotide ribosomal RNA is filed under the name Vreelandella stevensii. Its description in RNAcentral is "partial 16S ribosomal RNA". It matches the Rfam family "Bacterial small subunit ribosomal RNA", at positions 338 to 795 of the family's 1533-position model. Lineage: Bacteria; Pseudomonadati; Pseudomonadota; Gammaproteobacteria; Oceanospirillales; Halomonadaceae. The record is from RNAcentral.
CCUACGGGUGGCUGCAGUGGGGAAUAUUGGACAAUGGGGGCAACCCUGAUCCAGCCAUGCCGCGUGUGUGAAGAAGGCCCUCGGGUUGUAAAGCACUUUCAGUGAGGAAGAACGCCUGGUGGUUAAUACCCAUCAGGAAAGACAUCACUCACAGAAGAAGCACCGGCUAACUCCGUGCCAGCAGCCGCGGUAAUACGGAGGGUGCGAGCGUUAAUCGGAAUUACUGGGCGUAAAGCGCGCGUAGGUGGCUUGAUAAGCCGGUUGUGAAAGCCCCGGGCUCAACCUGGGAACGGCAUCCGGAACUGUCAAGCUAGAGUGCAGGAGAGGAAGGUAGAAUUCCCGGUGUAGCGGUGAAAUGCGUAGAGAUCGGGAGGAAUACCAGUAGCGAAGGCGGCCUUCUGGACUGACACUGACACUGAGGUGCGAAAGCGUGGGUAGCAAACAGGAUUAGAUACCCGAGUAGUC